AUGAGGUUAAAGAACAAGGCCAAAGUUUUCCGCACCGUAAAGCCCUUAGUUCAAGAAAGGUACAUUUUCCGCCUGCCUGGAAUGACCAGAAGGGAAGGUGGAUUCAGUGCUUUUAAUCAGCUUAAAAUGGCUCUUUUCACUAUUGUGGAUGGGAAGAUGGGGAAAGGGGUCAGCUUCAAAGACGUGGCAGGAAUGCACGAAGCCAAGCUGGAAGUGCGAGAGUUUGUGGAUUAUCUAAGAGCCCAGAGCGCUUCCUCCAGCUUGGCGCCAAGGUCCCAAAGGGCACGCUGCUGCUCGGGCCCCCUGCUGUGGGAAGACCCUGCUGGCCAAGGUGGUAGCCACAGAGGCCCAGGUGCCCUUCUUGGCAGUGGCUGGCCCGGAGUUCAUGGAGAUCAUUGGAGGCCUUGGUGCUACCCAUGUGUGGAGCCUCUCUUCAAGGAAGCCCAAGCCCGGGCUCCCUGCAUUAUCUACAUCGACAAGAUCGACGCGGUGUGCAAGAAGCGCUCCACCACCACGUCCGGCUUCUCCAACACCGAGGAGGAGCAGACGCUCAACCAGCUUCUGGUGGAAAUGGACGGAAUGGGCACCACAGACCAUGUCAUCGUCCUGGCGUCCAUGAACCGAGCCGACAUUUGGGUCUGUGCUCUGAUGAGGCCGGGCCGACUGGACCUGCAAGUCUUCUUGAUCUUCCCACGCUGCAGGAGAGACAGGAGAUUUUCGAGCAGCACCUGAAGAGCCUGAAGCUGACCCAGGCCAGCACCUUUUACUCCCAGCGUCUGGCAGAGCUGACUCCAGGAUUCAGUGGGGCUGACAUCGCCAACAUCUGCAAUGAGGCUGCGCUGCACGGGGCACGGGAGGGACACACGUCCGUGCACACACUCAGCUUCGAGCACGCCGUGGAGCGCGUCCUUGCAGGGACUGCCAAAAAGAGCAAGAUCCUGUCUAAGGAAGAACAGAAAGUGGUCGCAUUUCACGAGUCGGGCCACGCCUUGGUGGGCUGGAUGCUGGAGCACACGGAGGCCGUGAUGAGGGUCUCCGUAGCGCCUCGGACAAAUGCCGCCCUGGGCUUUGCUCAGAUGCUCCCCAGAGACCAGCACCUCUUCACCAAGGAGCAGCUGUUUGAGCGAAUAUGCACGGCCCUUUAGGGCCGGGCGUCGGAAGCAGUGACCUUCAACAGGGUCACUUCCGGGUCACAGGAUGACCUGAGGAAGGUCACUCGCAUUGCCUACUCCCUGGUGAAGCAGCUUGGGAUGGUACCUGACAUCGGGCCCAUCUCCUUCCCUGAGGCACAGGAGGGCCUCAUGGGCAUCGGGCGGCUCCCCUUCAGCCAAGGCCCUCAGCAGAUGAUGGAUCAUGAAGCAAGACUGCUGGUGGCCAAGGCCUGCAGAUACACCGAGAAGGUGCUGCAGGAGAACCUGGACAAGCUGCAGGUGCUGGCAAAUGCCCUUCUGGAAAAGGAGGUGAUAAACUAUGAGGACAUUGAGGCACUCAUUGGCCCAACGCCCCAUGGGCCGAAGAAAAUGAUCGCACCACAGAGGUGGAUCGAAGCCCAGAGGGAGAAGCAGGACUCUGGAGAGGAGGAGGCGGUGGAAGAGCCCAGCAGCCUCCACUUCAAGGCAAAGAGCCACCUCGACCAAAGUAGUUGGGACAUGUUGGCCGCACGUGCAGGUGAUCCAAGCAGUGAGCAGCUCACUCAGCCGCCCCGCGUUUCUUUUCAACUGAGCUUUGCACUUGCUCUCGGGGCCCUCAAUAGUCUCUGCACGCUCAGUAGUCUCUGCGCAGCGGCUUCAGAGAUCUCUUUAUUGAUUACCCUUUUCAUGACUGUAAAUUUCUCUGCGGAAAUGACUGACUGAGCCUUGUGUUUGUGCAUCGUUUCCCCAUGGGGAAGGUUAUUAGUGCUUUCCCAAGUGAGCAUGGGACACCUCGAGUUCCCAGGUUUACCGACAGUCCUUCCCACUGUGGCUGAGGCCACCCAGAGGCCGCACAGCAUUAAGACCCCUGUUCAUGCUGACGCCUGCACUGCCGUUCCAGUUCCCGUUGCUCCCUCCGAAUGCUAAGGGGAUCGGACAUGAAAGGACCCUCAGAGCCGAUUGUCCUGUCUCCAGAGGCUCUGUCAUGGAGCUCACUCAUCAAUGAGGCCACACAGGCCCAGAAACCGGACUCUAGAGGACUCAACACUGCCACCUGCGGCCAUGUGGACAGGUACAAGCUGAGGACUUCUAGCUGGUCUAGUCAUGCAGUGUUGGGAUACCUUGGUUUUUAUUGCCCUGAGAAUUGUUGAGAUACUUCACUAAUAAACUCUGUGGUUGGAAAAAUC
Cebus imitator (Panamanian white-faced capuchin) is the source of this 2317-nucleotide RNA transcript. It is a transcript of the gene named paraplegin-like, with no coding region annotated. The transcript has 2 exons. The record is from RefSeq and is a predicted model, not a curated record. NCBI's taxonomy places the organism in Eukaryota, Metazoa, Chordata, Mammalia, Primates, Cebidae.